RNAcentral lists this ribosomal RNA (492 nucleotides) under uncultured bacterium. RNAcentral describes it as "partial 16S ribosomal RNA". It matches the Rfam family "Bacterial small subunit ribosomal RNA", at positions 29 to 507 of the family's 1533-position model. The record is from RNAcentral.
AGUGAACGCUGGCGGUAGGCCUAACACAUGCAAGUCGAACGGCAGCACAGUAAGAGCUUGCUCUUACGGGUGGCGAGUGGCGGACGGGUGAGGAAUACAUCGGAAUCUACUUUUUCGUGGGGGAUAACGUAGGGAAACUUACGCUAAUACCGCAUACGACCUACGGGGGAAAGCAGGGGAUCGUCGGACCUUGCGCGAAUGAAUGAGCCGAUGUCGGAUUAGCUAGUUGGCGGGGUAAAGGCCCACCAAGGCGACGAUCCGUAGCUGGUCUGAGAGGAUGAUCAGCCACACUGGAACUGAGCCACGGUCCAGACUCCUACGGGAGGCAGCAGUGGGGAAUAUUAGACAAUGGGCGCAAGCCUGAUCCAGCCAUACCGCGUGGGUGAAGAAGGCCUUCGGGUUGUAAAGCCCUUUUGUUGGGAAAGAAAAGCAGCAGGUUAAUACCCCGCUGUUCUGACGGUACCCAAAGAAUAAGCACCGGCUAACUUCGUG